CUUUUGGUUUUUGUUUGUUUGUUUGUUUGGGGGUUUUGUUUUGUUUUGUUUUGUUUUGUUUUGUUUGUUUUGUUUUAAGAUGGAAAGACUUGAGGAUAGUUAAUGGGAAGGAUCCAGUGAAAACAUCAAGAUUGAACUAUAGAAGAGAGGAUCAUUGUUGGCGGGAAGCAUCUGAAGAAGCCCAAGAUGUGAGAGCCUGGGUUCACGCAGAGACGUUAGUCUUGGGGGAAGACCCUUGCUGCUGAAGUGCGAUCUACCGACUGGCCCCAGCAGUAUCACCUGGGAGCUUGUUGGAAACGCAGCAUCUCAAGCCCUGCCCAAGACAUACUGAACCAGAAUCUGCAACUUGACACAAUCCCCAGGAAGAAGACAAAGCAAGAGUCGUAAAGAGUGUGCUUCAGGGGAAACUCAGGGGAUAUAACCACCUAAUUAUGAAUUUCCUGAAUGUGCAACUCGACCAGCAGCAACUGGACAUGAUUAGUACAGUGGGCCUCACCUCCAGCUGUUCUGCAAAAACAAAUCAGUGAAGGAUUUCCAAGGCACAUUUUCCUUUGGACCCGUUUUAAGUUUUAACAAUGCAAACAGCACAGUGUUGCUCUUUUUUUUACGUAGGUGACAGAUUGAAAAGAAGCAACCGUUUCCUCCAACAAAAGAACUAGUCUAUGGAGCAUAUACUUCGACUUGAGUUGAACGUGUUUGAAUCUGUAUAAAAACACAAAAACUGCAAAUCUGUCUCCUUAUAUGUGGAACCAAAUCUGGAAAUAUGUGCUCUAGAGGCAACUGUAAAAUCAUAUUUCAUUCUGGCAUAUGGGCCAAUGAUUGUGUUGUAGAGAGACAGAGCAUGAAUGGCGGAGGGGCAGAGAGAG
Lynx canadensis (Canada lynx) is the source of this 866-nucleotide long non-coding RNA. RefSeq lists it as uncharacterized. The transcript has 4 exons. The record is from RefSeq and is a predicted model, not a curated record. Lineage: Eukaryota; Metazoa; Chordata; Mammalia; Carnivora; Felidae.